UGGAUAGCUCAGUUGGUUAGAGCAUGGUGCUUGAGAAUGCCACGGUUUCAGGUUCAAUCCUUGUAUGGGAAAA
This is a non-coding RNA of Podarcis lilfordi (Lilford's wall lizard), 73 nucleotides long. NCBI's taxonomy places the organism in Eukaryota, Metazoa, Chordata, Lepidosauria, Squamata, Lacertidae. The record is from the annotation of a GenBank genome assembly.